RNAcentral lists this transfer RNA (65 nucleotides) under Lamprotula cornuumlunae. RNAcentral describes it as "tRNA-Leu". Lineage: Eukaryota; Metazoa; Mollusca; Bivalvia; Unionida; Unionidae. The record is from RNAcentral.
AGUAAAGUGGGCAGAAAAGUGCCUCAGAUUUAAGCUCUGAUCAGGGAGACCACUCCCUUUACUAC